This 893-nucleotide ribosomal RNA is filed under the name Cryptosporella multicontinentalis. RNAcentral's name for it is "LSU rRNA". It matches the Rfam family "Eukaryotic large subunit ribosomal RNA", at positions 39 to 963 of the family's 3401-position model. Lineage: Eukaryota; Fungi; Ascomycota; Sordariomycetes; Diaporthales; Gnomoniaceae. The record is from RNAcentral.
GAUAUCAUUAAGCGGAGGAAAAGAAACCAACAGGGAUUGCCCUAGUAACGGCGAGUGAAGCGGCAACAGCUCAAAUUUGAAAUCUGGCUUCGGCCCGAGUUGUAAUUUGCAGAGGAUGUUUAUGGUGCGGUACCUUCCGAGUUCCCUGGAACGGGACGCCACAGAGGGUGAGAGCCCCGUCUGGUUGGAUACCAAACCUGUGUUAAACUCCUUCAACGAGUCGAGUAGUUUGGGAAUGCUGCUCUAAAUGGGAGGUAAAUCUCUUCUAAAGCUAAAUACCGGCCAGAGACCGAUAGCGCACAAGUAGAGUGAUCGAAAGAUGAAAAGCACCUUGAAAAGGGGGUUAAACAGUACGUGAAAUUGUUGAAAGGGAAGCGUUUAUGACCAGACUUGUGUCGUGUGGCUCAUCCGAGGUUCUCCCCGGUGCACUCCACACGGCUCAGGCCAACAUCGGUUCUCGUUGGGGGAUAAGAACAGUAGGAACGUGGCCCCUCUCGGGGGGUGUUAUAGCCUAUUGUACGAUACUCUGACGGGGACCGAGGACCGCGCUUCGGCUAGGAUGUUGGCGUAAUGGUCAUUAGCGACCCGUCUUGAAACACGGACCAAGGAGUCGUCCAUUAGAGCGAGCGUUUGGGUGUAAAACCCGCACGCGUAAUGAAAGUGAAAUUAGGUGAGAGCUUCGGCGCAUCAUCGACCGAUCCUGAAGUUUACGGAUGGAUUUGAGUAAGAGUUUUAACGGACGGACCCGAAAGACAGUGAACUAUGCUUGAAUAGGGUGAAGCCAGAGGAAACUCUGGUGGAGGCUCGCAGCGGUUCUGACGUGCAAAUCGAUCGUCAAAUUUGAGCAUGGGGGCGAAAGACUAAUCGAACUGUCUAGUAGCUGGUUACCGCGA